GGCCCUGUAGCUCAAUGGUAGAGCACGCAACUCAUAAUUGCUAGGUUUCUGGUUCGAGUCCAGGCUGGGUCA
This 72-nucleotide transfer RNA is filed under the name Klebsiella phage PKO111. It matches the Rfam family "tRNA". From Rfam's summary of the family: Transfer RNA (tRNA) molecules are approximately 80 nucleotides in length. The record is from Rfam by way of RNAcentral. Lineage: Duplodnaviria; Heunggongvirae; Uroviricota; Caudoviricetes; Pantevenvirales; Straboviridae.